RNAcentral lists this long non-coding RNA (267 nucleotides) under Mytilus galloprovincialis (Mediterranean mussel). The record is from RNAcentral. Lineage: Eukaryota; Metazoa; Mollusca; Bivalvia; Mytilida; Mytilidae.
AGUCGACUUUUGUAUCUGGUUUGCAUAAAAGAUUGGAUGAGGGGAACAUCAAGAUGUUUUCAUGCGAUAGCUGUUAAUUUAAAGAACUCCGUGCAGGAAGUUUGACGACAUACAAUUAUCUGACUGUUGUCCCUCAGUUUCGGGUAUUCAGUGUACACGUUCUAGAAUGCAGUCGUUCAUCUGUAGCGCUUGUAUAUUUUGUUGCAACAAAACAUUUUAGAAAGAUAAAAAAUUACUCAAGUUUGAAUCAGAUGAGCGCAUUAAAAA